Molecule: long non-coding RNA, 470 nt
Organism: Gasterosteus aculeatus aculeatus (three-spined stickleback)
Lineage: Eukaryota; Metazoa; Chordata; Actinopteri; Perciformes; Gasterosteidae
Source: Ensembl
CAAAAUUCCACCCUUUCAAAGGGGCAGGUCCAGAGGUUCAAAUCAGUGGUUCAAACACAGGGAGUGGUUUAGCAGUCAUGCUACUAAAGAGGUUUUUCAUAACCCGACCAGAGGGAAUGUCAAAUCGUCUAAUUGUGUCUACCUGAUCACAUGUGUCAAAUGCGGUGUUCAAUAUGUGGGAGAGACUGGGAAUACCAUUGCCACCCGUAUGACACAACACAAACAUAAUAUUGUCAAACAGAAAAAGACACGCACGCCACUGGUGAAACACUUCAUUUCUCAUGAUUGGAAUUCUGUCUCUGUGUGUGUCAUUGAGUGCAACCCUAGAUGGAGUGCUCCCCAGAGGAGGAGAGCAGAGAGGGUGUGGAUCGCCAGAAUGGACACAAGGCAUCCCAGUGGCCUUAACGAGGACUGAGGGUGCUGCAGGUAGUGAGGUAGUGCAGGACAGUGCAUGGAUGGUCUUGUUUACA